Molecule: long non-coding RNA, 681 nt
Filed under: Cyanistes caeruleus (blue tit)
Lineage: Eukaryota; Metazoa; Chordata; Aves; Passeriformes; Paridae
Description: lncRNA (ENSCCEG00000011967.1)
Source: RNAcentral
AGGAUAUAUAUCAAUGUAUUUAUUGAUGGUGGCUGACCACGGUUGAAUCUUCUUUGAAUUUCAGCUGUUGCGUUUAUUUUCAAGAAAUUGAAACUUUCAUAUCCUGUCCAGAACAAAAGAUCAGAAUUCAUCCAUUUCAUCUUUGCAGUGAAUUGAACUAUCCCUCACAGACAGAGGCUACAGCUUGGCCUUCCCAGUUUCUCAGGCAUAGAAGUUUCCAUGGUAACCUCCUGAGUGGAGGUAAAACCAUAGUGGAAAUCAGCGUUCAGCCAAGGAGCUGCCAGUGUCCAGGAAAACUGCUCAGGACCAGGUUACAAAACAUUCUGGCAUGACCUCGUGUAGCACCUCAAGUAUGCUGUGAUAAGACACUGGCUGUGAGUGUCCUGAGGCUGCCCUGCCCUGCCUACACCAUCAGCCCUGGAGGAUUUGCUGCUGUGGCAGUGAGGGGAGCAGAAAUAGGGAGAUGAGACCCUCAGCUGGCACUACCACCCCUGCUGAACUGCAGCUUGUCAGCCCAAGACUGGCUUCACUUCAGAGGUAAACACAGGUUCAGAAGUUGUGAUAUAUUAUCUUGCAGCAGUCUGCAACAGGAAUCUAAGCCAGAGAGAAGACAAUUGUCUAGUUUCAGGUGUUUGUAAUCCAGCUAAUAAACUCACUGGAUCAUCUACUCUUUACUGAUAG